GACGUAGGAUGCAAGCGUUGUCCGGAUUUAUUGGGCGUAAAGAGUUCGUAGGUGGUUUGUUAAGUCUGAUGUUAAAGACUGGGCUCAACCUCGGAAAUGCAUUGGAUACUGGCAGACUUGAGUGUGGUAGAGGCAAUCGGAAUUCCGAGGUGUAGCGGUGAAAUGCGUAGAUAUCGGAAGAACACCGGUGGCGCAAGCGGAUUGCUGGCCAUAACGUGACACUGAGGAACGAAAGCGUAGGGUAGCGAAGUGGG
This 254-nucleotide ribosomal RNA is filed under the name uncultured bacterium. Its description in RNAcentral is "partial 16S ribosomal RNA". It matches the Rfam family "Bacterial small subunit ribosomal RNA", at positions 524 to 777 of the family's 1533-position model. The record is from RNAcentral.